UACGAACUGUGCAAACGUUAUUCGGAAUCACUGGGCUUAAAGGGUGCGUAGGCGGCUAUCUAAGCAGGGUGUGAAAGCCCCCGGCUCAACCGGGGAAUUGCGUUCUGAACUGGAUGGCUGGAGUGAGAUAGGGGUGUGUGGAACUUCCAGUGGAGCGGUGAAAUGUGUUGAUAUUGGAAGGAACGCCGGUGGCGAAAGCGACACACUGGGGUCUCAACUGACGCUGAGGCACGAAAGCCGAGGGAGACGACGGGAUACGAUGACCUGGAGUCCC
RNAcentral lists this ribosomal RNA (274 nucleotides) under uncultured bacterium. RNAcentral describes it as "partial 16S ribosomal RNA". It matches the Rfam family "Bacterial small subunit ribosomal RNA", at positions 524 to 796 of the family's 1533-position model. The record is from RNAcentral.